Long non-coding RNA from Drosophila virilis, 861 nucleotides. RefSeq lists it as uncharacterized. The record is from RefSeq and is a predicted model, not a curated record. Lineage: Eukaryota; Metazoa; Arthropoda; Insecta; Diptera; Drosophilidae.
UGUGUUGGCCCAAGGAACAUAAAUUAAAUACACUCACAUACAGACUCAGAUACUCGUACUUAUUAUGCAUUACCUAAUGAAAAGUGGGCUGGCUGGGAUCUGGGCAGCAGCAGGCACGGUUGGAACUCUCAGUGGGGCUGACAGGAGGCGAGGCGCAACAGGACGAGGCGUUGCUGCAGGGACGAAAGCCAAAGGCAAUGUGGCUCCGGGCAACAAACAAAGAUGAUGCGGAUAUCACUGCGUCUGCUGUUGUUGGAAGUGCAACGGAAAUGCGGGACUCCGGCCCCUAGUUGAGGGGUUGCGGGAGGAUGAGUAUGGAAGGCUGCUGGAAGCGUCGGCAGCGUGUGGGAAAACCCGAAGAGAAACAAUAAAAGCGCGCGCGAGAGCCGGGCAAAUGUUGGAGAAAUUAAACACGCCAAGUGUUGGGCGUGGCGGAAGGCGUAAUAGAAGUUAGCGCGGCGCGAGAAAAACUGAAGCCAAUGCAAUUGUAAUGCGGGGAAAGCAUGCAGAGACAGCAGCCAGACAGUCAGACAGCCAGACAGCCAGAUAAACAGACAUACAGAUGAAAGACAAACAAACACAAACAAAGCCUGCUCACACACACACACACACACAUACAAAUUGAGGUUAUGUUAGACGUUGCUUUGGCCCCAAAAACUCGUUUCGGCACUUAAAUGCCAAUGCACACACACACACACACACACACACAUCAUUGCCGAGCUUAGAUAUGACGAAGGCAGGUUUGAGUGGUGGUUGAUGAUGGUAGGCAAGGGGGUUGGGCAGGGGCCGGUGGGGCAGCUUUUGUGCGCUGUUGGUCUGCGGCGUAUCCGGUUUUUGAGUGUACGUUAUUAGCCCGCUGCU